This 116-nucleotide ribosomal RNA is filed under the name Gadus macrocephalus (Pacific cod). RNAcentral describes it as "partial 12S ribosomal RNA". The record is from RNAcentral. RNAcentral also lists the same sequence under 1 other name. Lineage: Eukaryota; Metazoa; Chordata; Actinopteri; Gadiformes; Gadidae.
UCUAGAACUGAUAACCCCCGUUUAACCUCACCAUCCUUUGUUUUCCCCGCCUAUAUACCACCGUCGUCAGCUUACCCUGUGAAGGGAAAAUAGUAAGCAUAAAUGGCAAAGCCAAA